GUGUGCUGCGUACUCGACUAUGAAUGUGGUAAAUUAUAAUACGUACAACGUACACAAACAACAACUUAUACUGCAACAUAUUGAAAUUUGUUUUGCUGUUCACUCGGUCGAGUGAUAACAGUCGUUGAUGGAAAAUAUAUGUGCGCACUGCUUGAACUGAAAUAUUGAAUAAAAAGAAACUAGAUGGUAGACGUUAUCGCAAUGUUGUUUGUUUCAUAUUGUGGCAUUUCACAUGAGCCGUACUCUCACAUUUUUACCAGUUUCAAUUACAAAAAAUAUAUUUAUUGAAUAUUGUAUUGAUGAUGAGUCAGCAUUCGUAGAUGACAAAUAUAUGGGUAAAAUAUUACGUCUUUUUGGAAUUAAAUUGUUAUAUGAAGAGCCACAUUAUUAACAAUCGUUUUUCAACCAAUUACAUCGAGUGAUUUCAAAUAUGACAUCGAGAAAUCUCAAAUUAACGACCAAUAAAUAUUUCGUGGAAAUUAAAA
This is a long non-coding RNA of Contarinia nasturtii (swede midge), 485 nucleotides long. RefSeq lists it as uncharacterized. The transcript is spliced from 2 exons. Lineage: Eukaryota; Metazoa; Arthropoda; Insecta; Diptera; Cecidomyiidae. The record is from RefSeq and is a predicted model, not a curated record.